This is a long non-coding RNA of Malania oleifera, 902 nucleotides long. RefSeq lists it as uncharacterized. NCBI's taxonomy places the organism in Eukaryota, Viridiplantae, Streptophyta, Magnoliopsida, Santalales, Ximeniaceae. The transcript has 2 exons. The record is from RefSeq and is a predicted model, not a curated record.
AAAAGAAUACCACAAACUCUCAUCAUAAACCAUAGUUUUAGAUAGAGAGAGAGAGAGAGAGAAAGAGAGAGAGAGAGAGAGAAUACAGGAAAUUUAGACAGAAACUUAAACUGAUUUUGAAGAAGCUGAAAAUCAAGGUUGUGUAUGCAUAUGUUGAAUUGUUGUGCGAAAUAGUUGCCACCAUGAGUUGCUGUGUCUGUGAUAUUGUGGAAUUUGAGCAAGUAGGAAUUUUGUCUCCCUUGGGUGAUGGGCCCUAAACUUCCGGAGGGUAAUUCCGCGUUAAGCAGCAAUCGGCCAAGCUGGAAUUUGGCACUUAUUGGUAUUUCCACAUUAAGCAGUGGUCGGCCAAGCUGGAAUUUGGCACUUAUUUGAGAUCAAAUGUGCACUUAGUUGUGACAGUGCUGCUAUGAUGAGGAAAAUGUGUAAAUGCAUGCUAUUUGAAUAUUUUGUGAUAGUAACUUUUAAUGAAGAGAUUGCUUAGAAUAAAGAGUGUGUUCAUGCAUAUUGCUUAGAAUAAAAAGUGUGUUCAUGCUCCUUAUGAUUGUGCAUGCAUAUAAGAAAUCAUAUAUUAAAGUGUUGAAAUCCUUAUUGGAAUAAGAGGGUAUUAAGAAUGUCCACUGAGCUCGUGGUUGCUCACCCUAUUCCUCAAUAAUAUCAAGUUCAAACUGAAGGAGAGCCCCACUUAUUAAGUUCACCAGGAGUGCCAUUUUUGACAAGUAUUACAGGUUGGGAGGAAGACACGAUACUAAGCAUGUAUUUGGUUGGCAGUUAUGUAUAUAGACAAGGAAGUGUGAAAAAUGUUAUAUGUAAAUUACAGCCCAAUGUAAAGAACUUGUCACUGAAAGUAAAAUGUUUUCAAUUGCUUUAUAAAAUAUAUGGAUGAAUCUUGUGUAUUCAACAAA